This 887-nucleotide ribosomal RNA is filed under the name uncultured bacterium. RNAcentral describes it as "bacterial SSU rRNA". It matches the Rfam family "Bacterial small subunit ribosomal RNA", at positions 9 to 873 of the family's 1533-position model. The record is from RNAcentral.
AGAGUAUGAUCAUGGCUCAGAACGAACGCUGGCGGCGUGCCUAACACAUGCAAGUCGAGCGCGAACGGAGCAAUCCUAGUAGAGCGGCGCACGGGUGCGUAACACGUGGGUAAUCUGCUUCGAAGCCCGGGAUAACCUGCCGAAAGGCAAGCUAAUACCGGAUAAGCCUCCGGGUUCCUCGGAACCUGAAGGAAAAGGUGGCCUCUAUUUAUAAGCUAUCACUUCGAAAUGAGCCCGCGGCCCAUCAGCUAGUUGGCGGGGUAACGGCCCACCAAGGCUACGACGGGUAGCUGGUCUGAGAGGACGAUCAGCCACACUGGAACUGAGACACGGUCCAGACUCCUACGGGAGGCAGCAGUGGGGAAUUUUGCGCAAUGGGCGAAAGCCUGACGCAGCAACGCCGCGUGUGUGAUGAAGGUCUUCGGAUCGUAAAGCACUUUCGACCGGGAAGAAACGCUGUUGGCUAACAUCCAGCAGCCUGACGGUACCGGGAGAAGAAGCACCGGCUAACUCUGUGCCAGCAGCCGCGGUAAUACAGAGGGUGCAAGCGUUGUUCGGAAUUAUUGGGCGUAAAGCGCGUGUAGGCGGCUUAGCAAGUCGGGUGUGAAAGCCCUCGGCUCAACCGAGGAAGUGCGCCCGAAACUGCUGAGCUCGAGUACCGGAGAGGAUGGCGGAAUUCCCCAAGUAGAGGUGAAAUUCGUAGAUAUGGGGAGGAACACCGGUGGCGAAGCGGCCAUCUGGACGAUACUGACGCUGAGACGCGAAAGCGUGGGGAGCAAACAGAUUAGAUACCCUGGUAGUCCACGCCGUAACGAUGAGACUAGUGUCGUGGGUGUUGACCCCGCGUGCCGUAGCAACGCAUUAAGUCUCGCCUGGAAGUACGCGCA